RNAcentral lists this ribosomal RNA (253 nucleotides) under uncultured bacterium. RNAcentral's name for it is "partial 16S ribosomal RNA". It matches the Rfam family "Bacterial small subunit ribosomal RNA", at positions 524 to 776 of the family's 1533-position model. The record is from RNAcentral.
UACGUAGGAGGCAAGCGUUGUCCGGAAUUACUGGGCGUAAAGCGCGUGUAGGUGGUGGGACAAGUCUGCUGUGAAAGCGCCUGGCUUAACCGGGCGAGGUCGGCGGAAACUGUCCGACUCGAGGACGGUAGAGGGGGGUGGAAUUCCCGGUGUAGUGGUGAAAUGCGUGGAGAUCGGGAGGAACACCUGUGGCGAAGGCGGCCCCCUGGGCCGGCCCUGACACUGAGACGCGAAGGCGUGGGGAGCGAACGGG